Long non-coding RNA from Acinonyx jubatus (cheetah), 1831 nucleotides. RefSeq lists it as uncharacterized. Lineage: Eukaryota; Metazoa; Chordata; Mammalia; Carnivora; Felidae. The transcript has 3 exons. The record is from RefSeq and is a predicted model, not a curated record.
UCUUAAGCCCAAAACAAUGGCUUAACAGUCAAUAACCCAGCCUGCUGCUCUUAUUUCCAUUAGUUUUCCAGGUAAAGAUCAUGGGACAGAUCCUAGUAUGUCUUCAUAAUCUACAUGCCUGGCAUAUCACAUGAACUUCCUAUUUAUUGGCCUUGGCAGGUGCUCUUCUAGUUUUGGACCCCAGCGGUGAGUAGGAAGGCCAUGUCAUCCUGCCCUAGCAGUGAGGAGCACUGGAGCAGAGGAGGAAGAAUUCUAAUGCAGAUGUGUUCCAGCAUGAAGCACAUACCUGGGACAUAGAAGAUGCUCAGUAACAAUGGGAAAUCCUAGCUUUACUUUGAGAGAGGCAAUCUGAGAGAAGAUAAAAGAUAUCAGUUGGAAAAUUCCUCACAUUUCUCCCUUCCUCCUCACAGUCCUCUUUCAUGCCUUCUCAUCAAGGAGGAGGAGGUGCCUCCCCAAGUGUCAGACAAAUAGCCUCUUCUGGUGUCUGGUUCUCUUCAAUUAUUUCCUGAGCAUCUGACUGUUCCAGCACUGGGCCAGCCACUAAGUAGAGAAUUAUGAACCAUACAAAUGCGAUUCCUAUCCUCAAAGAGGUGAGAAUCUAGCAGAGAGCAGGCAUUUGUAAUCACAAAUAGAUGAGUAUUAAGUCACACAGGAAUUCUCUUCUCCAGCCUUCUUGGAAACUGCCACUGAUUAACCCCUACUGUCUUCCUUAUGUCUCCAAGCUUUCGUUUGCUACACCAUCCCUAGAGUCAGCCUUUAUAUUUGCUAUCUCAUCUUAAAAGUAAGAUGAAAUUUCCUUUUUCCCAUAUUUCCCUCCAAAUACAGUCCUACAUUGUCCUCUAUUCCACAGUAAAAUUUCUAGAAAAAGUUGUUUAUCAUCACUAUAUUUUUCUCCUUACUUCCCCCUGCACUUUGGCUUCUGAAACACUUCCUUACCUCUAACCACCAGAUUCCAGGAGCCUCUCUCACCAAAAGCAAUGACUUUCACAUUGGUGAACCCAAUGCAUACUUUUUAGUUCUUGUUUGUUCUCUUGGCAGCAUUUAAUGUUCCGUGUCAGUUUUUGUUUUUCCAAAUCCUCUUUGUUUGCUCCAGACACUCCACAAUCUCCUUGCUUCCUCACCUCUUUGGCUACUUUUAUUUCUAUUUCCUUUGCAGUUUCCCCUUCAGCUAUUAGACCAAUAAGACUCAGUUCUCCCCUCUUUUUUUACUUAAUAUUGUCCACCUUGGCAAUUUCUUCCAUCCCUAAGCCUUAAAGUGGCAUCUCCAGAUGAAUGUUCCACUUUGUACUCUGGCUCAAAUCUCUUCUCUGAAUUUCAGACUAGACGUACCUAACAGAACUUGUACAAUUUCCCUGGGAACAUUUCUCAGAAUCUUUGACCAGGUUAGUCCUUUACAGUGUGUUCCCAUAUCAUGUAUUUUUCUAUCUACUUUGUUGUGAUUUUAUUAUCUGUCCUGUCCCGGAAUGUACUCUGUGAGGGCAGGAAUCACAGAAGUGUAUCUGUCUUAUUCAUCAUUGUAUUUGCAAUGUCCAGCAAACUGGUUUGUAUUUACUAUUUAUUGGAAGUCUGAAUUGAUAAAUAUAACGAUUUUAAUAUGGGGCGCCUGGGUGGCUCAGUUGGUUAAGUGUCCGACUUUGGCUCAGGUCAUGACCUCAUAGUUUAUGAGUUCAAGCCCUGAAUUGGGCUCUGUGCUGACAGCUCAGAGCCUGGAGCCUGCUUCAGACUCUGUGUCUGUGUCUCCCUCUGUGUCUCCCUCUCUCUCUGUCCCUCCCCCACUCACACUCUUUUUCUGUCUCUCUCUCUCAAAAAUAAAUAAACAUUAAAAAAUUAA